AGUGGGAGUGGGCAUGGGCAUGGAAGGGGGAGAAGGGGGAAGAGGAUCUACUGCUGUAGAGCCUGUGUCGUGACUCGUGAGGUCAGGUGCUAGGUGAUUUGUAGCAUAUCAUUAUUUCUUUGACACUCUUCCUCUUCUUCGUCUGUAGUAUUCUAUUGUGUGUGCUUUUGUUUCUCUUUUUCUUGAUUGUUCAUUUUUCUUUCUCCCUCUUAUCUUCGGCUUCUGUUCCUUACUCUUUGUCUUGUGAGGUUUUUUGUGUUUAUUUUGCCUUUGAGAUUGGAUCAAGCAGUGGUUGUUGUUACCUGAUUGGUUGUAUAGGUGUUUUAAAUCUGACUGGCUAAGGCGUCUGAUUUUCUUCCAACCUAUCUAGAUCCUUGGCUGUGGGAAACAGCGAUCAGGAGGACUUUUCAUCUGAUACAGCUAGCGGGGCAUCACCCUGUGGCCCGGGACCAGGGGCGUUAUCGGAGGAGUUCCUAGUGCUUAGCGCUGUCACACUGUCCAUAGCCUGAUUCCCGAUAAUUGUCUGAUAGAAUUUUUGUUUGCCAUGUCGUCUGCCUCAUGUGACCUCGCUCCAAACAGCCUCGGCACUCGGUGAUUUCCUGGGGAUCGCGACAAGGACGAACGGCCCAUGGGCCAUGUGGAUGGCGAAUUUGUGUCGACGG
RNAcentral lists this small RNA (662 nucleotides) under Histoplasma ohiense. RNAcentral describes it as "hypothetical lncRNA". The record is from RNAcentral. Lineage: Eukaryota; Fungi; Ascomycota; Eurotiomycetes; Onygenales; Ajellomycetaceae.